UGGGGAAUAUUGCACAAUGGGGGCAACCCUGAUGCAGCCAUGCCGCGUGUGUGAAGAAGGCCUUCGGGUUGUAAAGCACUUUCAGUUGUGAGGAAAGGGUGUUGGUUAAUACCCAUCAUCUGUGACGUUAACAACAGAAGAAGCACCGGCUAACUCCGUGCCAGCAGCCGCGGUAAUACGGAGGGUGCGAGCGUUAAUCGGAAUUACUGGGCGUAAAGCGCACGCAGGCGGAUACUUAAGCUAGAUGUGAAAGCCCCGGGCUCAACCUGGGAUGGUCAUUUAGAACUGGGUAUCUAGAGUCUUGGAGAGGGGAGUGGAAUUCCAGGUGUAGCGGUGAAAUGCGUAGAGAUCUGGAGGAACAUCAGUGGCGAAGGCGACUCCCUGGCCAAAGACUGACGCUCAUGUGCGAAAGUGUGGGUAGCGAACAGGAUUAGAUACCCCCGUAGUCC
Molecule: ribosomal RNA, 449 nt
Filed under: uncultured prokaryote
Description: bacterial SSU rRNA
Rfam family: Bacterial small subunit ribosomal RNA
Source: RNAcentral